Molecule: long non-coding RNA, 39239 nt
Filed under: Durio zibethinus
Lineage: Eukaryota; Viridiplantae; Streptophyta; Magnoliopsida; Malvales; Malvaceae
Description: long non-coding RNA (DZIB_LNC001481)
Source: RNAcentral
CAUAUACAUGUCAAAGUUCUGUUAGUGACUUUGAUAUCUUGAUGGUGUCCAGGUCAUGAAAUUUGAAGAUCUGAAGGAGCUUGGCAGUGAAGGAGCUGUUAAGGUUAUUAUUUUUAUGAACAAUUUUUGCUUAGCUUCUAUUACUUACUCCACAAACGUAAGUUGAAGGUUCAUAAUUAGAAGUAGUAGAGAAUAAAUAACAUGUGAUGAGAGAUGAACUGCUAAGACUAGGAUUUAAGUUCGCAUGCAAGAUUGAGGUAUGAGGUGUUGCAUAAGCCACAGUCCUGGUGGGCAAGCUCAUUGCAUCUUGAGCUGUGGCUGGUCUCUGGUUCAUAUACAAGUUUAUAUGUUGUGAUUGAACUUGUGAAAUGUUGGCUGGUUCUAGGUGCAUGACAUGUGUAUAUGACACACACAUAUAUAAUCUCACCUUUUUCCUUUUUGAUCAGGCUGCUGGAAAAUAUAGGCAGGAGGGGAAAACUUAUAUGGUCCAAGAUGGAGACGUAAUAUUUUUCAAGUUUAAUGUUUCUGGAGGUGGGAAGAAGUGAAAGAGUGUUUACUUGAGACAGGAGUCAAUAGUCGAGUGUGAGCACCCAUUCUUUUGAUGUAUGAGCUGCUUUUGUGGCAUAUCAAUAGGAAGAAGGAUUAAUAUAUACUAUGCCUCCUUAUUUGAGCACUAGCUGUUUUGUAGAAGAAACUUAUUUGCAUCCAUCACUUACAAUAUAUAAUUUAAAUAUAAUAAUUCAAGUCAUUGUAUUGUGUAAAAUAUUAUAUUCGUGUUAUAUUUUACAUGAAAAUCACAUAUUAUAAUUUGUAUUAAUAUAAAAAUAUAAAAUAUAAUUUUUUAAUUUUAUUAAAUUUUAUUUAUAAUUUUUUUAAAAUUUUAAAUCAUGAUAUUUUUGUAUAUUUUGUUUUUAUAUUUUUUAAUUAGUCAUGCAUGAAAUCCGAAUGCAAACUGAAAAUGCAUUUUCCUGACAGCUUGCUUUUAAUGAUGAGGCAUAGAAAAGCCUUCCUUUGAUCCAUCCGUCAAAGCCCGGUCCGACCAGGAAAACAAAAAAAACCCUGACUCCAUUUGUUUUCAAAAAAUAUAUAUGUAUAUAUUUGAAAAUGUUGAUUUUUUUAUAUUAAACAAAGUAAACAUGCCGAUUGGUGCAGGCAACGCUAGUACGAAAUUAUCAUCUCCUUUACCACGCAUUAAAGGGCAGCAGUUCUUAUACUUUAGCUUUAUUCUUUAUUCUUUUUUAAAUAUUAUUUUUGUAUUUAGGAUUCUUUGACAUUCAUUGUUGGGAGGACUUGGGGAGUUGACAAGGAAUAAACAACAUUCCUCUCCUCUCACUCAUUCACCAUCAUCAAGUCCACAUUCUAUUAACUCUGGGGACAUCCUCUCCACGUGUCAGCAACUAACGGUGGUAGUGGUGGACAAAGUGGGUGACAGUGGUCCCACUUUCCACACCAAUGUACAUCCCUCUAAUAAUGUUCCCACCCAACUCACCUCGCCUAGCCUACCCUUUUCUGUGUGUUUAUUGGAACUUAGGUAAAGGAAAAAAACCAAACCAAACCAAACCAAAUCAGAGAAGAGAAUAAAAAAAAAAAAAACCCUGGUUAAAGGGGCAUUGGUGAUCUGACCUCAAUGCUGAAGACAACCUUUAAACUGGAUUUGAUAAACCCUUUGACGUCCACCAUGUCAACACAGUUCAAAACCAACAAUAAUUAAUUAGUCCCUUCCCUCUCUUUUUCUUUGGCGGAUAAAUCCCUAAUUAAUUAGACUAAUGGUUAGAAGUUUUAAACAAACAAAAGAGACAAAGGAGAAUAGUAAAAGAGACACAGGAAAGCCUUUUUGGGGGAGUUUCUGGUCAUUGUUAUAAAAGAAAUUAGGGUUUUGGCCCUUUUAAAGUUGAACAACUAAAAUCUAUAUUGCUUUGAAAAGGUUAUAUAAUUUCAUGCCUAAUAAAGUAUAUGUGGUCUAUUUUGUUUACUAUUUCCCUUUUAGCUCCUCAUUUCGAGACCUGUUUCUUGUUUGAGUGAGCUCUUACCAGUGUGAAGCUCUUACAUUUUUGCUAGGAAAUGGUCUAGUUCGCUUAAAAGUCUUGGGCUUCUCACAUAACCUUUUCCUUUGAGCCUACAUUGUUGAUGGAUGUAGGGGUCUUGGUAAGAAAAAUGCUGCAUUGUCGGUUAGAUCUCUCCAUGGGGCCCAGUGUUUUUGCAGUUGAUUUUCAGUCAUUUAAUGCUUUAGCUUAGUUUGUGUAGUUAAAGAUAGUUCCUUGUUGAAAGUUAUCUCCAUCACUCAUUCCUGUUGGAGUCAGAAUCGGCUCUUUUGAGGCUUGUCUUUGUCAUAAUGUGCUCUUGUAUCAGGUACAUUGCUGUGUUACUCAUCACAUUUUCGGUUUUGCGUUGAACUCGUGAAUGUUGUUCAUUCCAUCUCCUCUGAAGGUGAAUGCUGCUUGUACUGAAGAGAGGGCUUUUAGAGUUACUCCUGCUUUUAGUGAAAUGGUUCUAAACUCGUUGAAUCUGUGGAUUUAAGAGAUUGAUGACUCUCUGUAGUAUCGUGCAAUUACCUUGUUCUUUAUGUAAAAGGAUUAUUACUGCAGAGAUUGAGGGGGAUUUUGGGCUUCUAUUUUGUGUUUUAAUCUUAACUUCUCUGAAAUUCAGUUUGUUGUAAUCCAAUCUCUGCAUUAGGGAGAGGAAACCCUCCGUUUAUUUCUGGUUUUUAACUUUUAGCUAACUUGGGAUUGAUAGGAUUAAUAUGAUGCUCUUUAAAAUUUUAGUGUUAUCCAUAUUUUUCCUUUCUGCCAUGGGGCAGCUUCCCUCACAGGACAUUCUGGCAUUGCUUGAAUUCAAGAAGGGUAUUAAGCAUGACCCUACGGGUUAUGUCCUUGAUUCAUGGAAUGAGGAGUCCAUCGAUUUCAAUGGCUGCCCUUCUUCUUGGAAUGGGAUUGUCUGUAAUGGUGGAAAUGUUGCUGGUGUUAUCCUUGAUAACUUAAGUCUCUCUGCUGAUGCAGAUUUGAGUGUUUUUUCAAACCUUACGAAGCUUGUGAAACUGUCCAUGUCAAACAACUCUAUUGCGGGUGUCAUUCCUGACAAUAUAGGUGACUUCAAAAGUCUUGAGUUUCUGGAUGUGUCAAAUAAUCUCUUUUAUUCAUCAUUACCACCGGGAGUUGGUAAGUUAGGGAGCUUACGGAAUCUUUCACUGGCUGGGAAUAACAUCUCAGGCUCAAUUCCAGAUACAAUUUCAGGGCUUGUUUCAAUCCAAUCUUUGGACUUGAGUCGCAAUUCCCUGUCCAGUUCACUGCCGACCUCAUUAACAAAACUGAAUGAGCUGUUGUAUCUAAAUCUAUCUUCCAAUCAGUUUACCAAGAGAAUCCCAAAAGGGUUUGAGCUCAUAUCUGGUCUUAAGGUGCUAGACUUGCAUGGGAAUAUGCUAGAUGGCAGCUUAGACGGGGAGUUUUUCCUUCUAUCAAAUGCCAGCCAUGUUGACUUUAGUAGGAAUAUGCUGCAGAGCUCUAGUUCGCAGAAAUUGCUCCCCGGUAUUUCUGAGAGUGUCAAGUUUUUAAAUCUUAGCCACAACCAACUUACUGGAUCAUUGGUUGGGGAAGCUGAGCUUCAGUUGUUUGGAAGUUUGAAGGUGUUGGAUCUAAGCUACAAUCAGCUGUCUGGAGAAUUGCCUGGAUUUAAUUUUGCAUAUGAUCUUCAAGUCCUUAAGCUGAGCAACAACAGAUUCUCAGGCUUCAUUCCUAAUGUCCUGCUGAAAGGAGAUUCUCUGCUUUUAACUGAGCUUGAUUUAAGUGGGAACAAUCUCUCAGGUAGCUUUUUAAUGAUAUUGCUAGUUUGCUACUUCAUCCUACAGUGGAAUGCUAAAAAGCUUGAAUAUGUGAAUUUUUUUGCCAACUUAUGAAUUGAACUUAGUUGCUUUGUCCGGUUUUCUGCAUUCUACCAUUCCUUAUACUUCCUGGUUUAUUUUUCAGGGCCAGUAUCCAUUAUCAUGUCAACAAAUCUGCAGAUUCUCAAUCUUUCUUCAAAUGUGCUCACAGGGGAACUUCCUUUACUGACCGGAAGUUGUGCUGUACUUGAUCUAUCAAAUAACAAAUUAGAAGGAAAUUUAACAAGAAUGUUGAAAUGGGGGGAUAUUGAAUACCUUGAUCUUAGCCAUAAUCUUUUGACAGGGUUGAUUCCUGAGGUAACUCCCCAAUUUUUGCGUUUAAAUCAUCUCAACCUCUCACAUAAUUCCCUUAGUAGCCCUCUACCAAAAGUGAUAAUGCAGUACCCAAAGCUUAGAGUCCUUGAUCUUAGUUUCAACCAAUUGGAUGGACCUCUUUUAAAUGACAUACUAAACUUGGCUACUUUGGAAGAACUUCAUCUUGGGAAUAAUUUAAUUUCUGGUGCCAUUGAGUUAUCUCCUCCAAGUGAGUCCAACCUCCAUGUUCUUGAUCUCUCUCAUAAUUGGCUUAAUGGCUAUUUUCCCAACCAAUUUGGGUCAUUGGCUGGACUUCAAGUGCUCAAUCUUGCGGGCAAUAACUUAUCUGGUUCUCUGCCAACUUCCAUGGCUGACAUGAACUCGCUAAGCUCAUUAGAUAUAUCCCAGAAUCAUUUUACUGGAUCUUUACCAAACAAGACCCCUAACGGGCUUCAAAGCUUUAAUGUUUCCUACAACGAUCUCUCUGGAGUUGUCCCAGAAAAUCUGAGGAAGUUCCCUACUUCCUCCUUCUACCCUGGAAAUUCUAAGUUGCUUUUUCCUAGUGGUCCUUCUGGAUUGAACAAUGCCCCUGCUGAACAUUCCAAGAAGAAACCGAUUAACACAUUUGUGAAAUGGGUGAUUGUGGUGUCAUGUGUGGUUGCUCUCAUCAUUCUCAUCCUGCUUGCUAUAUUCAUACAUUACAUCCGUAUAUCAAGGAGAACUCCUCCGGUGCAUUUUACAAGUAAAGAUGUUCGCAAGCAAGCACCAACAAAUUCUAGCAUUGUUGGGACUGAGAGUGGGGGUGCUUUGGUUGUUUCAGCAGAUGAUCUUGUGACUUCAAGGAAAGGAUCAUCAUCUGAAAUUAUCAGUCCCAGUGAGAAAAUGGCAGCUGUGACUGGCUACUCUUCUUCAAAGACCGGCCAUUUAUCUUGGUCACCAGAGUCUGGAGAUUCAUUAACUGCUGAGCACCUUGUAAAACUGGAUGUAAGAACACCAGAUCGAUUGGUUGGUGAGCUGCAUUUUCUUGAUGAUACAAUCACAUUGACACCUGAGGAGCUGUCAAGGGCUCCAGCAGAAGUUUUAGGAAGGAGCAGUCAUGGGACUUCUUACAGGGCAACAUUGGAUAAUGGAGUCUUCUUGACUGUGAAGUGGCUCAGAGAAGGGGUGGCAAAACAGAGAAAAGAAUUUGCUAAGGAGGCUAAAAAAUUUGCAAACAUUAGGCAUCCUAAUGUGGUGGGUUUGAGAGGAUACUAUUGGGGGCCCACCCAGCAUGAGAAGCUGAUUCUUUCUGAUUAUAUCUCACCUGGAAGUCUUGCAAGCUUUCUUUAUGGUAAUUGUUUACCCUCUAGCUUUUCAACAAAUUAUUUGCGCUUCUCUUAUUAGAACACUGCUUAUCAAAAAACAUAAGAGUGAAGGGGGGAUAGUGGAAAUCUUUUUGUUUGAUCUAACUUUUAUUUCACCUUCACUGUCAUAUGCGGGUACUUUCAUAUGCUUGGUCCUUUUCUCCUUUCAGUGUGGUACCUCUUUGUCAAGGUUUCAGUAUAAAAUCCAGAUCCAUAUAUAGACCUUUAAUUACUGCUACUUGAAAAUGGAGGGGCUUAGUCCCAUGCUUCUGAGAAGACUGGUCUGGAACAACAUUAUUUUUGCAAAAUCAAACUGUUUAGGUUGCUGGUAGUUUAGCACAAAAUAAAUGUAGCUGCUUUACUACUUACAAGGUUUCUAAACUUUUAUACCAAACUUUCUGAUUUAGAUAACUUGUCUUGCAGGGCAUGUUUACCAGGGGUAUAUGGGUGUAGCAUAGAUGAAAACAAUUAAAACAAAACCAUUAAAGCAGUUAGUUCUCUACUUUAUUUUUUUGGGGCCAUAUCAGAAGAGAUGUAUCUUUGUUGGAUACAAAUGUGUUUGUUUUAAUUUUUUUUUUUUUGAAAAUUCAAAUGUGUUUGCUUGCUUCUUACAAUCUUUUUAUUGAUGCAUUGCAGUUGGCACAGUUGAGUUAAUGUGCUAUGAAUUAGUACUGUUCAUUAAUCCUGUCUAGUUUUUUCAGUUGUAGCCAAUAGAAAAAUGGUUCACUAGUUGGGUUUCAAGUGGUAAAGUUGUUUUCUUCUCUGUUCCUAUAUCUUAAGAAACUUCUGCAUGGAUAGACGAGUUCUUCUACUCUCUUACUAUUGCCUCCUCCAUUUGUUUUUCUUCUUUCAUUGAUGAUUGAAGGAAUAGAUUAUUUAUGAUAUGAUAUGAUAUUGUCUUUCAUGCUUCCCUUUUUGAUACUCUUUUCCUAGCUUUUAUGUAAAAUAGAUUUUGAUCAUGUCACUUUUUAUAUCUUAGCAAAAUAGUAUGUAAAAGUGACAAACAAUAUAUUCAUAUGAGAGACAUCAUUUAGUUAUUGCAUGUUUUUGAACAUGAUGAUGAUAAAAUUAUAAUAUUUGUAACUUCUAUAGAUUUGGCUUACUUUCAUUCUCGUUACUAAUGAUCACAUCUAAUAUAACAUUUUCAGAUCGACCAGGAAGAAAAGGCCCACCUUUAUCCUGGGCACAGAGGCUGAAAAUAGCUGUUGAUGUUGCACGUGGCCUAAACUAUCUCCAUUUUGACCGUGCUGUUCCACACGGUAACCUAAAAGCAACAAACAUACUAUUAGAUGGGCCUGAUCUUAAUGCACGUGUUGCUGAUUACUGCCUACACCGCCUCAUGACACAAGCUGGCACCAUGGAACAAAUUCUUGAUGCUGGUCUCCAGGGUUAUCGCGCACCAGAGUUAGCUGACAGCAAGAAACCGCUGCUUUCCUUUAAGUCAGAUGUUUUUGCAUUUGGAGUGAUUCUGUUGGAACUUCUAACUGGCAAAUGUGCUGGUGAUGUAAUUCCCGGGGAAGAGGAAGGGAUUGAAUUGACAGAAUGGGUGCAGUUGAGGGUAGCAGAAGGCUGUGGCUCAGAUUGCUUUGAUUCUGCCUUGGCGCAAGAGAUGGGGAAUCCAGCUACUGAGAAGGGAAUGAAGGAGGGCCUUGGAAUAGCAUUAAGAUGUGUACGAUCUGUCUCCGAGAGGCCAGGUAUCAAGACUAUAUACGAAGAUCUUUCUUCUAUAUAAUCCAUUUUUUAUAUCUAAAUUUAAUAUUCAGGGAAUUUAACAUCUCAUUGGCCUCCCUUUUUGAGUAUUUUCAUUUGGCAUAUGGAACAGCUGAUUUCCAUUCAAAAUUUGUUGUAAAAAUGAAGCACGAUAUGAAUGGAUAGAAAAGUUUCAACUCAGUGCUGGUUCCCAUAAUGGCCUUCUUUUAAGGCUUUCAAUAAUAAAAUUCAGUUUGAUCUUCAAAUGAGUUUCAGAUUUACUAUAAGUUGUAUGAAGAACCUUAUUAUAUCCACUGAAAUUAUGUUUUUGAGGCAAGAUUUACACUCACGCUAGAGCUGUUAAGCCCUUUUGCUUUCAGCAUGAGUUUCUGGACAAUGAGCUCAAAGUCUGGCAAAUAUAAAAGUCCUCAAGUUGUCAACUAGCAGCCAGUUGGUUUCAGUGAAUGAGCUCAAAAACACACUUAUUUUGGAUGCUCCUCUUUCAUUCAUAUAUCAUAAUCUUGAUUUUUUUUUUUUUUUAAGUUUCAGAUGUUAAUCAAGUUUAAGUUUGGGCCAUUGAUUAUUUCAAGUUAUUUGAUUUCAAAUGUUAGUCAUUCAUUGAAUUAAAUGAGAAAAAAAUUUGAUUAGUCUAUUUGUAUAAAUUGUCUGAAGAACUUUAUUUGUUAUAUAAAAAAAUAUAUAUGAGCAUAUAUAUUGCAUUAACGUUAUUUGUUAAAUUUUCAUUGAUUUGCCUUUCCGAGCCCAGCUAUAUCUUGAGUUUCUAUUCUUUGUUCCUCGUAAAGAAGCACUGUAAUUUGUAAUUAAAUUCAAAACUUAAUUUCAUUGAUUUAUAUAAUUAUUUUUAAAAAUUAAUAUAAACAGAUUUAAUAUUGAUAUUUAAGGCUUGUAAUUAAGGUUUUUUUUUAAAAUAUCUUAAGUGCAAUUGAGGAAAAUAAAUUUGCUCAUUAAGAAUAUAACAAAUGUGGCAAUUCAAAUUUCUUCAAAUAAUAAUUAAUAAAGAAAUGAAACAAUAAACAAUAAUUUUCAAAUUAGAUUUCAGGAUUGUAAAGCGAAAAUUAUGAUCCCAACUUAAUGGUGAAGCGAAAUAAAUAAUCUAAAGUUAAGGUUAGAUCAACAAUAAAUAAAAAUUAUUUAAUUUUUAUAAAAAGUUCAAAUUCUUAAAAAAAAAAAAAAAAUUAUAAAUGAUGAGAUCGAAGCUAACGUUUGUACACCAACCUUUUCACUCUGAUAAAAAACGCUAAACCCUAGAGCAUAUACCUGAUGUGAUGUUGACUUAUUUGGUGCUAAUACAGUGGUUUAGGAAAUAAGAAUCAAACUACUUAGUUUGGAAAUUAAGAUUUUUCAGUUACCUUUUUUUGAAAAAAAAAGAAAAAAAGAAAACUCAUUUUUUGGCUUUCUCUACAGCCAGGGCUCACUUGUGUGGCUCAGUGAACUGCAGCAGCCGCCGCCGCCAUCGUCACCCACCGGGUAAUCUUAUCAUCAUAAAUAAAUUCUACAAAUAUUUUUAUAUAAUCAGUUGAUAUUGAUACAUUAAUUUGAGUUGAAGGUGGUUAUGGAUUCUCAGCUUCUACGAAUUAACGGAACCGAUCUUUCUAUUAAACCAACACACUCUUCCCAUUUUCGUUCUUUCACUGCCCCUAAUUUGAUCCGUCUUUCAUCGAUCGCUUUUCCUACAGGUACUUACUUUUCCUUUUUGAAUUUCUUAAAUGGUAUUUCAGUUGCUUAGUUGAUAUGAAAAUGAUUGGUGUUUGUUGCAUUUGGCUCAGUAGUUGUUUCAUGAAUCUCUUUUAUUCUAAAAUUUUUUGUACUUGUACUUGAUAAAAAGACGUGUUUCAUUGUGUUCAAGAGACUGUUAGGUUCCGGUUGUAUGGUUUGAUUCAAGUAUAUACUGCUGUAAAUACAAGUUUAUGUCAAAAUUGGUAUAUAUGUAAUUCAUAGUAUAGAUGGUAUCCAUUCAUUACAGCUGAUGAAUGUUUGUAUUUUGAUAGCAGGUUUCUUUUUCCCUGCUUCUUGGAUAAAUAAAAUUGCCAUUUAUCCCAAAAAAAAAAAAAACUUGUUCACUAGUCUACGCACCUAAUUUAGGACACUUUGCAAAACAUUUAAUUUUUUUCUAUAAUGGACCACUAUUACAGGAUUGGCUUGUAAGAGAAUAAGGUGUGCAAUGAAGUCUUAUAAGUUAUCAGAACUUAGUCAUGCUGAGUUAGAAAGCUUGAAGGCUCGUCCUCGCAUUGAUUUUUCUUCUAUAUUCGGCAUGGUGGGCCUAUCUUUUCUUUCCUGUGUCAUCUUUUCCUCUUUGCUCAUACAUUAUCUUUAUUCAAUCCCUGCCAGUUUUUAAUGUUCAUAUAUGAUAUACCUCUCAGAUCCAACCAAUAGUUGAUGAUGUCCGCAGCAGAGGCGAUGCUGCAGUUAAAGCGUCGGUGCUGCUGUCAAUCUUUACUUGCUCUUUUUUUUUUUUUCCUGUGAGCAUUUUCAGUAAUGUGGUUAUGCAUGUGGUUAUUUGCAAGUAUAUUUCUUUUGCAGUUAUACUGAAAAGUUUGAUAAAGUUAAGCUACAGAAAAUUGUUGAAAAUGUCUCGGACCUUCCUUAUCCUGAGGUAUUCUUUUUGAAAAAUUAUUCUUCUUGAAAUCUCAUCAAACCUCUAAUUUGUUUCUUCAGUUUAUUUUAUCUCCAUUGCUUUUUUCUUGCUAUGCUGCCAUGUCUCAGCUUGACCCAACUAUUAAAGAGGCAUUUGAUGUGGCAUACGACAACAUAUAUGCAUUUCAUCUUGCCCAAAAGUCUGCUGAGAAAAGUGUUGAGAACAUGAAAGUAAGUUAGUAUUACUGCUUUGUUAUUGUAUCUUUCAUUUAUUUUCAACAUAAUAAAUAUUUUCAUACUCUGAUAGGGUGUUACAUGCAAAAGGGUGGCUAGGAGUAUUGGUUCUGUUGGUCUUUACGUACCAGGGGGAACUGCUGUUUUGCCUUCAACUGCUCUAAUGCUUUCUGUUGUAAGUUGAUCAAAUGAAUUACAUUAAUUAUAUCUCUAGUUCUCUGUCUGUUUUAACGGUUUAUUUGACAUUUGGUUUAUUCCUCACUCCAGCCUGCACAGAUUGCCGGAUGUAAAACUGUUGUUCUAGCAACUCCUCCAGGCCAAGAUGGCAGUAUAUGUAAGGUAUUUUUGUUUUUUUCUUUUAUAGAAAUAGCAUAUAAAGAGAGAGAGCUGAUCAGGAUUUUGCUAUAGGAGGUACUAUAUUGUGCUAAGAAGGCUGGUGUAACUCACAUUCUUAAAGCUGGCGGAGCUCAGGUCUGAAGAUAUGCUUACAUUCUGCAUUUGAACUAUUGUUUUUAGUAUUUUUUUUACAUUCCUAUCAGAUCUUAACCUUUUUUUUCUUAAAAAAACUGAAUUUUACAGGCCAUUUCUGCAAUGGCCUGGGGAACAGAAUCUUGCCCAAAGGUAAUGAUUCCUCAUCAACUUUUUCUCAGUUAUUGGGUUUUAGAUAUCUACGGCAAUUUUUUGAAGAUGAAUGAGUAGUGAUUUCUCUUGUGUUUCCUGUCAGUAAUUUAUUAAUCAGAAACUAAGAGGCUUUUCUUUUGAGCUUAAUUGAUUUAUCAAAUUCUUUUAUAUGUUCUUACUAAGCUAUCUCUAACUGAGUUUUAUGCAUUGUGUUUCUCUGUGACGAAUCUGUGUUUUAUGUAUGAUGUCAUGCCAACUGGCUGGGGAAUUGCACUAGAAGCCUUCAGUUAUUUGUGUUGAGUGUAAUUUAAUUAAUCCUUUAAAAAAUGCAAAUCUUCAGCAAGACUCAUCAUGCAAAGUCAAUUUCCCUUGCACAUCUUUCUCUAUUUGCCUGUGUGUGGAUAAUAGCAUGCUGAUGUAAAUAACAUAGUUAGUUAUGACAAAAUAUUGAUUUUAAAUGAAGGAUGUUGAAAUGCCAUUAGAAAAUCAUAAUGAUGAUCAGAAAGCUCAUUUAAAAUCAAUGUAAUAACUUGUAUAUGAUCAGAAAGCUAUACAGGAGGUUUAUGGUCCAGUUUGUUACCGUUGAGCAUGUAUACCAGACUAAACAAAGUCUUGAUGAGUUGUUCAAGACUUCAAAUAUGAUUAGUUGUUGAAGGCAAGAUAACUCAGACAAGAUUUGAUUUUAGGAAGAAAGAUAAGAUUUGAUUUAUCAUGAUUGGAUCUUUUUCAGCUUUUUAUUGGUGUUAAUGGUUUUGCCUUUGUUGCAGGUUGAGAAAAUUUUUGGACCCGGAAAUCAGUAUGUAACAGCUGCCAAAAUGAUUCUCCAAGUAAGUUCAGUUUACUAGCUCUUAGAACUUGUACAUCAGUUUGAUCCAAUCGAAGAAAGUUGUAGAAACGCAUUUUCCUCAAUUUUGAUUUGAUUCUAUCUUCUGUUUCUAUUUCCUCAUAGAAUAGUGAGGCUAUGAUUUCAAUUGACAUGCCAGCUGGCCCUUCAGAAGUUCUGGUUAUUGCUGACAAACAUGCCAGUCCUGCACAUAUAGCUGCAGAUUUGCUCUCCCAGGUUUUCACCUUUUUCUUCUUAGUUCUAAUUAGCUACUUUUUUACUUAAAUCUUAUCUUGAGGCGUUUGUGAUCAUUUGUCUUUACUAUAUUGGUGAGUGGUGAAAUUACCGAUCUCAAGUUUUCUGCUGUUCCAUGAAAUUCUCCAUCAGGACAGCAAAGGUUUGUAAUUUAGAUGAUUCAUAAUGCAUGGUGAGGUUGAUGGCUAUAGACUUAUAUCCUUCAUAGGACUUUCUUUUGGCCUUUAUCAUGAACUUGUAAGGGGUAUGAUGACUUUCUUUCUGCAAAUCAAGAUAAAAGAACCUCACAAGUUCAAGGUUGUUUUUGCAUUUAUGAUCUUUAGUGUUGUUAUCGCUCGAUUGAGUUUAAAGGGUUGCUUGAUUGGGUUGAAAGAAAAUGGUUGCUUGGUCUCCGGUUGAAAGAGAAAGAAAAAUGAAAGAGAAAUUAAAGCGAAAUGCUAGCUUGUAAUUUCCAAGCUGGCAUUUUCAAGCAUGAAAAUCCCACAUCUGCAGUCCAUCUAGGCAAAAAAAAGAAGGGCCACAUCAGCAACAUGAUGGUGGAGUGUUAACUCUUAAAAUUUGGACUGAAUUUCACACUCUGAAAAGUAGAGGGACUUGAUUUGAUCAAAUUAUUGUAUAGGGACUAAAUCUUGAUUUUGGCCAGAGUACAUGGACUAAUCUCAGAAUUUGACCUUUUAGUAGACUUUUUGUUUGUGUUGUAAUUUUCAGUGACAUUCCGAGUCACAUGUGCAUGUGUUUUUAUAAUUAUCCCUUGUUUCCUACUUUUCAAAUUUCCUGAGUUUUAAUUUUCAUUUUAAAAUGGAGGAUUAUUUGAAACCCAGAACUUGCAAAGUAGACUGUUCAAUCCCUUGUCUAGUGACACCCAUGUUAGACACUUCUUUUGUUCCAUUGUCGUUAGAAAAUAUUCUAUACUAAAUUGGAGAGUAAAGCAUAGUCUUGAUAACUAACUUGCUGCUUUUAUGCCCCAAAGGGAUGUGUCACUGGUUAAACUUGGGAUUUUCAGUUCACAACCAUCAAAUUUGAACCUGGGGAAGGGAGGGUAGGACUAUGGGGAAUAGAACAUGGUUGUCUUCCUUUCUACAGCCCAAGGUCCAGUUUGACUUAAUCUGUACAAAACAUUAAAAAAAUCCUGCUUCUCUUGGACCUGAUGUAUUAAUUGAUAAAAUCUGCUAUUUUCAGGCUGAGCAUGGCCCUGAUAGCCAGGUUGUUCUUGUAAUGGCUGGUGAGGGUGUGGAUCUUAAAGCUAUUGAGGAUGAAAUUAGUAAACAGUGCCAAAGCCUUCCAAGGGGAGAUUUUGCUUCAAAAGCACUAAGCCAUAGUUUCACUGUUUUUGCUCGUGAUAUGGUUGAGGUUAGUUUUCAUUUUCCUGUCUUGGUGCCCAGAGCUCACACUAAUCUAUUUUGAUCCCCUACUUGCAUGCAAUAUCUUCAGAUGGUGAAAAUUUAUCAAAGUUUUCAGGACAAGCUUUUAUUGCAUCAAGACUUGGAUAAUGUGUAACCCUGCUUUCACCAAAAAUGUCUAAAAGCUAGAAGUUCCAACUUUUUCCAAAUUUGGGUUUAUUUCUGAUUUGGAUCUUGCAAUUAUACAAUUCAAGUAUAGAAAAUAUCUUGUAUUCUGUUUUAUGGAAUUUCAUGAUCAUUUUCCUUUAGGCAAUCUCCUUCUCGAAUUUAUAUGCACCAGAGCACCUGAUCAUGAAUGUGAAGGAUGCAGAAAAAUGGGAUGGUUUUGUUGAGAAUGCUGGUAUUUUUAUAAACUGCAUCUUUUGGCUAUAUUGUUUUAUUAUAGUUUUUUUCUUCUUGUCACAAUAACCAUUGUGAUGGCUGUUAGUUUCUACCUUGAUAAUUCCCCUUUUUAGUUUGUUGCUAUGUCACUACAACAUUAUUUUGGUCAAUUAUUUGAAUGUGUUUUACAUAUGCUCCUGCUGGUUUCUCAUUUGCAUCUUUAAAAUUUUCCUACUUGUUUUAUACAUGCAUUAUGUAAUUGGUUUGAGAUCCAAGUAGAGAACAUUCAAUAUAUAUGUAUUUUCAUGCUUCAAUUAGGAAGUCUUAAUGUCAUACAUUUGUUGGAAAGCUGUUGAUAGGAAUUCUUAAUGCAAUAUACAUGUAUUCUCAUGCUUUGAUCAGGAUGUCUGAAUGAUACAGAUUUGUUAGAAAGCUUUUGAUAGCUGUUCUGAAUGCAAUAUUUGUGUAUUAUCAUGCGUUAUGUUUCCUUCUUAACCGUCACCUUGAGCCAAAGAAAACACAAUGUUAAAAUUGACCUGUAAACAUGUAUCCCAUUUAUAUAAAUUUGACAGUAAUUACUGUUAAGUUUUAGGCUGUUUUAUGCUGACAUUAAUGUUUAAUGUCCUACAUCCACAUUUGUUGGGUCUACAUGUAAUCUACAUAACAAGUUUUCUGCUGCCAAACUAUAUUUGUUUUGCAUGAUGGCCAUUUUCAUUAAAUGCUUUGUCUUUGCUCCUGCAGGUUCAGUGUUCCUAGGGCAGUGGACGCCAGAGAGUGUGGGAGACUAUGCAAGUGGGACAAACCAUGUUCUUCCAACAUAUGGCUAUGCAAGGAUGUAUGGUGGGGUGUCACUUGACUCUUUCCUUAAGUACAUUACUGUACAAUCUCUGACAGAGGAAGGCCUAAGAAAUCUUGGCCCAUAUGUGGCCACCAUGGCUGAAGUUGAGGGGCUUGAUGCUCACAAACGAGCCGUGACUCUCAGACUUGAAGAUAUUGAGGCCAAGCAUGCUUCUAGUGUGAGAUGAUGAUGAAUGUCAAUCAUAUUGGGUGCUGUUUUAUCUUGUAUGAUAGAGCAAAAAGUUGUCUUUGCAAUGGAGUUUGAUUGUUAUAUUGUAACAGAUAAUCCCCUUCACUGCUAGCUAUGAAGGUGGUCUAGAGAUUUAGAUAUAGUUUAAUUUUCCAUUUCAUUGAAUGAUUCCAAAGAAACUAAACUAAUGAAUGGAGUUUAAUUUCCAUUUCAGUGGACGUCACUAAAGAAACUCAUGAAUGGACAAAAAUCAUGACUCUAAUUGGAAGUUUUCAAGCUUAGUGUCACGGGUCGAGACUUAAGUGUUGAAUUCGUGCGAUUUUAGGAUUCGGACAUUCAAUCAUCCGACGUUUUAGAUCAGUCUAACUGUUACAGUUCAUACCUUUGUAAGGUAUUAUUUGUUCCGGUUCUCUUGAUUUUACGGUUUUGUCUUAUAAAAAGCGUCUUACAUUUACCUAUGUAUCUUGGGGUUUAUAGCUCAGAUCAUCCACGCACAAUAUCUCUAACAUAUUCUCAUGCUCAGAACGUUUGCACACUGCUUCCACUGAUAGCACUCGUCAGGUUACUUGGCUUGAGGGUGUUUGAUCACUGUUUCGAACUUCCUCGUGUAUCUUGCAGUCUAGGGCUCUCACUGUUCGCACAACAUGUUAGUAACAUGUUUCAAAGCUCUAAAUGCACGCCCGUGUAUCUUAAAAUCACUUUCCCGCCAGCUUGAUCUCGAUCGCUGCUCGGUUCAGGAUCAGUCAUGGCAGGACCAAGGCCUGGCCAUGACACUCUCCCCCACUUACUAUGUCGAUGCCCUCAUCGACGCCAAGACCACACCUAACUCUCUUGUUGCACACAGCUGACAUUUGUUCAUAUGUCUCUCACUUGUGCCCUCAAGGAUUGGAUCGAGGUCCCGUCACAUGGGGCACCGCCCACAGUACUCAUCCAUUGUUGAUGUAGAUUGGUCACGUUGUCGCACUCAUGCUGCUCUGCUCUGAUACCAAAUCUAUCAUAGUCCGCGCGUUUUUCAUUCUGAAACUACGCAUCUGUGCGGCACCAAGAUUACUCUUAGUCAAGGUCAGCCUUCACCUAAUCCAUAUUUCCUUGGAUAGAUCAAUUUUCGAUCCUUCGAGUCGCAUACCCAUGAGCCUUUUCUGGCUUCAACCCCGUAGGGUCGCUCAUUCCGAACUCUAUAGAGAAGAACCCAAACUCUCACUGCGCACUAGCCCACGAUUCUCAAAGUAGCCUCGAGCACCCAGCUCUACCCGCAGGGCUUUGGAUCUAGAGCAUCGAUCCUCGGGUGCUCAUAGGGACACCCAGUCCCGAUUCUCAUGGUAUUAUUACUUCUUGACAUGGUGAGAACCCAACACCAUGUCCGCUCAUAUCGUACGCAAGCUCCCAUAUCAAGUUUAUGCAAGCGCCACAUGUAAGCUGAUCAGUAGCCAGCUCGGAGCCUCUAGGCUUAUCUUGUCCCACGAGACUCAGUUUUUAAGGCUUAGGCCCUUAGCAUCAGUAUCGGUCACCCGCACGCAUAAUUGACACCCAACAUCAUGCUAGUCCCGCAAGGGAGACUCGGGUGGACUGUCUCAGCUGCAGCCUAUCUCUACCGAUUAGCCGUAGGGGUUUAACAGCGUGCCUGCCUACCAGCCCACACAUCAUUCAGGCUCGAUGGUAUCCCUCAUAGGCAAACACCAUCACAUGAUCCUUUCGGCUCAAGGAGGAAAAAUCGAAGGGCAUAACGAUCUCUACCAUGUAACCCCAUGGCUCAAUGCAAAGGCGCGAUAUGAGGCCCGUUGGCCCCAAUCGACCUCGGGUUUACCGUGACCCGAGGAAACAUUGUGCCACACUCGUGACUCUACGAUGCCCGCCCACCUAGCCACCACCAGUGAGUAGGAGUAGCUCACUUUAGACUAGCCAGGCCUCCGUCUGUCCACUAGCCAAAGGGGUGGUGGAGAGCUGACACUAGUCAUCCCCUUAUAAAGAGCGUAAGAGAUUUUCUCAGUCUCCUACUAGUGACCGUAAGAUUGUCCGAAAUGAGGACACUUUUCUCUCCAGCCAUCUCAGGGCCUUUCUUCGACUAACUCAUGGCCUCAUAACCUUUCUCUUAGUCGCUCAUUGGUCUUGCCAUGACUGAUUCUGAACCGAGCAGUGGUCGAGACCAAGCGGAUGAAAAAGUGGUUCUAAAAGACGAGGGUGUGCAUUUGGAGCUUUGAAACAUGUUACUAACAUGUUAUGCGAGCAGUGGGAGCCCUGGACCGCAAGAUACGUGGGAAAGUUCGGGACAGUGGUCAAGCACUCUUAAGCCAAGUAGUCUAGCGGGUGCUAUCAGUGGAAGCAAUGUGCGGCGUUCUGAGCAUGGAAAUAUAUUAGGGAUAUUGUGCGUGGAUGGUCUAAGCCACAAACCUCAAGAUACGUAGGUAAGUGUGAAAUGCCUUUUGUAGGAUAAAACCAUGAGGCUAGAGGGGUCAGAGCGAAUAAUACCUCACAAGGGUAUGAACUGUGGGAGUUGGGCUGAUCUGAGACGUCGGAUGAGUGGAUGCUCGGGUCCCGGAGUCGCGUGGGUUCGGAGCUUAAGUCUCGACUCGUGACAAAUGGUAUCAGACCUUGGUUUGGCUUAGUGGUGAGAUUUACAUGACCCCUUUGUGCGGGUCGAGUGACGUGAAAUCAAGGUAGUGCCAAGCUCAAGAGGAGCUAUUAAGACGCAAAUGCGGUUCUGUGGCUGUGGAGGCUCGAAAGGGAGCCAACGAUGCGUGCUGUGGGAAAAAUUGGGCCUAUGUAAAAAGACUCUCAAGUAGGCUCUUGGAUGCUAAGCAAAAGGGCAUAGAAGUCUACCUUCACCUAGAAAAAGGUGUUGGCAUAUGUUGGGGCAUGUGAUGCCUUCACGGUGGAAGGAAUCGUAAUGAGACCAAGAUGCGAAAAGGGGCUUACACCAUGAAAUGGUGUUGCGUAAGGCCAUGUAGGCCGAGUGAAUCUUGUCCUGAGGGGCAAGAGGUAUUGAGUUUCAAGAUUAAUUACUAAUGUGUGCACUUGCUGCAUGGUGCAGGUGCCCCAGCGGGUGUGCAAGCCGAAGUAUUUGAAUCCAAGCAUGGAGUCCUUACAUAAAAGAGUAUGGAGUGGAUAAAGAUUGAAGCCACAAAUGGAAUGGUCGGUGGACCAUGAGCUGCGUUGGUCAGUGGACCAUGAGUUCUCGUGGUCAGAGGAUCACGAUAGUGUGUGAAUCAGUGAGUCGAGUCUGUGUUGGUCGGGAGGGAAGGCUUCAUAUAUAGUAGUGAUCAGUGAACCACGACAGAGGGUAAUCUAGUAAAAUAGACAAUUGGGAAAUGGCCAGUUGACAAGGCCUUCAGAUGGUGUGGGUCGAUGGACAUUGAGAAUUGAGUGGGUUGGUGAAUCCUCGAGUCGAGCAAAUUAAUGGCCUAGGCGUUUAGUUGGAUCAGUGGAUCUUCAAGUAUGAGCGGAUUUUGAGAUGUCAUAGGAGCCAUGCUAGAGUCAAGGCAGAUGAGCAGUAGAUCCAUCGAGGAGACAUGGUUGCUUAUAAUGCUAAACCAAGUUUCGAGUAAAAGUGAGGGAGACGCGAUUUCCCUGUGGGACGAAGUCAAGACAGAGGAGUUCGAGCUGAUGGAGCUUAGUGUUCGAGCUAGGAGCAAAGACCGAAUCAGAAUGCGUUAAGGUGCCGUCUCGAGGGCGGUUGGCUAGAGGGCCACACCUAGAGAGGUGACCUUGGAAGGGUCGAGAGGACCCAAGUUGAGAGAUGACCAAAGUGUCUGAAUACCACUGUGCUAAGGUCUAUCAUGUGGGGUGUUGUAUGAGUGUGAUUGACCUAAGCACCACGUCCAAAGGGGCGCAUCAAGAGUUGAUGCUGCAAGAGUGCAGUCGGUGUGAGGGGUCACGUCCAGUGGGAUGCAUCGAUGAGUGGCAAAGUGGGUGGUCAUUCAUUGUACUAAAGGUCAUUGAUCAAUGAGGGUGCCUCGAGGUCGUAACAUGCAUGAUCAAGAGAUGAAACAAUGGUAUGGCCCAUAUGAAACAACCAAGAUAAGGUUAGACGGUUCGAGCUGGAACAGAGCAGAGCGACAUGAGUGCGGUAACGUGACCAAUCUACAUCAACAAUGGACGAGUACUGUAGGCGGUGCCCCAUGUGACGGGGCCUCGAUCCAAUCCUUGAAGGCACAAGUGAGAGACAUAUGAGCAAAUGUCAGCUGUGUGCAACAAGAGAGUUGGGUGUGGUCUUGGCAUCGAUGAGGGCAUCGACAUAGUAAGUGGAGGAGAAUGUCAUGGCCAGGCCUUGGUCCUGCCAUGGCUGAUCCUGAACCGAGCAACUGUCGAGACCAAGCUGGCGGGAAAGUGGUUUUAAAAUACGCGGGCGUGCAUUUGGAGCUUUGAAACAUGUUACUAACAUGUUGUGCGGGCAGUGGGAGCCCUGGAUUGUAAGAUACGCGGGGAAGUUCGGGAUAGUGGUCAAGCACCCUCAAGCCAAGUAGUCUGACGGGUGCUAUCAGUGGAAGCAGUGUGCGGGCGUUCUGAGCAUGAGAAUAUGUUGGGGAUAUUGUGUGUGGAUGGUUUGAGCCAUAAACCUCAAGAUACGCAGGUAAGUGUGAGGCGCUUUUUGUAAGAUAAAAUCGUGAUGCCAGAGGGGUCAGAGCGGAUAAUACCUCACAAGAGUAUGAACCGUGGCAGUUAGGUUGAUCUGAGACGUCGGAUGAGUGGAUGCCCGGGUCCCGGAGCCGGGCGGAUUCGAAGCUUAAGUCUCAACCCGUGACAAGGUGUUUUCUCGGGUCACAAUAAACCCAAUGGCGGUUGGGGCUAGCGGGCCUCGUAUCGCGCCUUUGCGUUGAGCCAUGGGGUUACACGAUAGAGAUUAUUAUGCCCCUCGGUUUCCCUUCCUUGAGCCGGAAGGAUCAUGUGAGGGUGUUUACGUAGGAGGGAUACUAUCGAGCCUGAGGGAUGCGCGGGCUGGCAGGCAGGUACGUUGCUAGACCCUUGCCGCUAAUCGAUAGAGGUGGGCUGUAGCUGGGACAGUCCACCCGAGUCCUUCUUGUAGGACUAGCAUGAUGUUGGGUGUCAAUUAUGCAUGCAGGCGGCCGAUACUGAUGCUAAGGGCCUAAGCACUAAGAAUCGAGUCCCGUGGGACGAGAUGAGCCUAAAGGCUCCGAGCUAGCUGCUAACCAGCUUAAAUGUGGUGCUUGCGUAAACUUGAUACAAGGAGCUUACGUACGAUACGGGCGAAUAUGAUGUUGGGUUCUCACAAUGUCAAAAAGUAAUAAUAUCAUGAGAACCGAAAUUGGGUGUCCCUACAGGCACCCGAGAAUCGAUGCUCGAGAUCUAAAGCCCUGCGGGCAAAAUUGAAUGCUCGGAACUACUUUGAGAAUCGUGAGUUGAUGCGUAAUGAGAGUUGAACUCCUCUUUAUAGAGUUUGAAAUGAAUGACCUUACGAGGUCGAAGCCAAAAAAAACUUGAUGGUAUGCGACUUAAAAAAUCAAAAAUUGAUCUGUCCAAAAAAUUAUGGAUUAGGUGAAGACUGACUUUGACUAAGUGUAAUCUUGGUGCCGCACAUACGCGUAAUUACAGAACGAAUAACGCGCGUACCGUGACACUUAGCUUGUUUUACUUGAUUUUGUGUUGUCAAUAACAAGUUUUUAGGCUUUGAGUUUAGUAUCAAUUUACAAGAAUGAAUACACGUGGCAAUGUUGGAAAAUGAGGAUGUUGAAAUUAUGCUUCAGUUUCUGGUUUCGAGUUGAAUUUGUGCGUGUUUUAUUUUUUUUAAAUUUAUUUGAUAAAAAAGAUUUUAAAUUUAAUAUCGGAAAGUGUUUAUUUUAGCGUGUGUAUAUAUAUAUAUACAUUUAUGGCCACAAGAGGCUGCUUGGCAUUAAUUCUAUAAAAGAAAUACUCAUCAGACGGAUAAUAUUACAUCCAAAUAUAAUAGAAUGCUAAGUAUUCUACGAAAUACAAACACACAUCAUUCAUCAGGCUUUAAAAAGAAAAAUCACAUCCUAGAUCCAAGGACCCACAACCAUACACAUGAUGUUAAUCUAAAAUUGACCUCAACGAUAGCCAAACCCUAGGAAAAUGCAAAUUUCAGACCCAUCUGAAGAAACAAUAAAAAGACUCCUCCCUCAAGCGACGACUUCCUCUUCUAUUUCUUCCUCCUCCUCAUACUCAUCCUCCGCGGUUGCAUCCUGGUAUUGCUGGUACUCGGCAACUAAAUCAUUCAUGUUACUCUCAGCUUCAGUAAACUCCAUCUCAUCCAUUCCCUCACCAGUGUACCAGUGCAAGAAAGCCUUCCUCCUGAACAUCGCCGUAAACUGCUCACUAACCCUCCUAAACAUCUCCUGUAUUGAGGUUGAAUUUCCAACGAAAGUGGCUGCCAUUUUCAGACCCUUAGGUGGGAUGUCACACACGCUAGACUUGACAUUGUUAGGGAUCCACUCGACAAAGUAUGAUGAAUUCUUAUUCUGGACAUUAAUCAUUUGUUCAUCAACCUCCUUCGUGCUCAUCUUACCACGAAACAUUGCAGAAGCAGUUAGGUAACGGCCAUGGCGUGGGUCAGCAGCACACAUCAUGUUUUUGGCAUCCCACAUCUGCUGGGUCAGUUCAGGCACAGUCAGGGCCCGGUACUGUUGUGAUCCUCUGGAUGUCAAGGGUGCAAAUCCAACCAUGAAGAAGUGUAGUCGUGGGAAAGGGAUAAGGUUAACUGCCAGCUUGCGGAGAUCAGAGUUCAGCUGUCCAGGGAACCGCAGACAGCAUGUCACACCACUCAUUGUAGCAGAUAUGAGGUGGUUAAGAUCACCAACUGAGUCAAGUUAAAAAGAAGAAGAACAUAAGCAGAGAUUACAGCAUGUAUACUCUGGAAAUUAAUUCCAUUACAAGAAGCCACUUAAUAUUUUUCAAGAAGAAACACAAGAAAAUACUAGUUAUUAUCCCAAUUCAUUGAAACAAAUAUUAAGACAUUAAUUCCUGUCACGUCACAUUCUUUUAUGUUUGUGGGGACAAAAGGUGGGUGAAUCUUUGGGUAAGAAAGAAACUUAUGACCAACCCGACUAAGACUUAGUAACACAGUUAGGAGCUAAUAUGCCAGCAAUUCCUUAAUAAUUGAGCAAGCUAGCAACCAAUAAAUAAUAACUUUGUCAAUUCUUGUUCAUAAAGACCCAGAACAGGAAGGUAAAGCAGCAUUAUCAAAUUAAUGCCAUUACAUGUUUUAUUUUUAAAUUGUUGAAGGAAAAACUUGCAGCUUGUUACGCAAAGCUAAAACCCUAUGUUGCAUACAGUAGGCAUCUAGAAUGAUAGAUCAGAACUUACAAGUUGGAGUGGCAAGCUUGAGAGUGCGGAAGCAGAUGUCAUACAGAGCCUCAUUGUCCAACACCAUACAUUCAUCAGCAUUCUCGACAAGCUGAUGAACGGAAAGGGUAGCAUUGUAUGGCUCAACAACUGUAUCAGACACCUUAGGAGAUGGGAAGACCGAAAAUGUCAACAUCAUGCGAUCUGGAUACUCUUCCCUAAUCUUGGAAAUAAGAAGGGUUCCCAUUCCAGAUCCAGUACCUCCACCCAAAGAAUGACAAACUUGGAAUCCUGUCCCAAAGGCACGUAAAGUGAGAUUUGAAGAUAGACAGGCUUUUUAUCUUGUGGGUUUGCAAGGCAAAUGCAAGUUGAGAAAACCAAAGAAAAAUUUAACAGGAUCACAAAAGAAAAUGAAUGAAUAGAUAAGACACUGGCCAAUAUGAGCAAUUAGAAAGGGUUAUCCAUGCAGGGAUUUGACCAUCUAUUGGUAGCAAAAAAGCACUAAAUAUGAUAUCAAAUACGAAAGCAAGAACAAGUACAAAGGUUAUUGACCAAAUUAAAAAAAAAAGAACAAGUUCAAAAUUAGAAGUUAAGAGUGUAGGAAGGAACCAAGCCACAAUAAAUCAAGAUACUCUAAUCACUUUCACACAUGAUUACAGAAAACAUAAACAAAUGGCUCAAAUAAUCUCUUUAAAUCAAAUUGAGGACAAGCUUACAACAUAUGGUCUCUAUACAAACAAACCAACCAGUACAGCUUUGAUGGGAAUUGUAAGAAAAGAAAAAGGAAAGGCUUGUUUUCCAACUUUGAGGGAAUAAAUAAAUAAAUAAAUAAAUAAAAUACUAAUUACAAAAAAGCUAAAUGCAAAAUCAGACCAUAAUGCAACCACAAUCAUUUCAAAGCAAGAGGUGAAAACAAAUAUCAUUUGCUCCUAAACAAUGAAAGAAAUAAACACUUAGCCUCAAUGGCUUAACAAAUUCCUUUAUAUAUAUAACAAUUUUACUUCAAAAUAGAAAUUUUCAAUAGGCAUAACAGACAAGAAGACAUAGCCCGGACUGAAACAGACAAUGAAUCUGAACUAAAAAACAAAAAUAUCCUUAAAAGCCCCAAAAGUGAAAAAAAUGAAAAUAAAAGAAACGUGCUGGGAAAAGACCCAAAAUGCCUCACUGAACCCAUGAUUAAAGAACAAACCAUAUUUUACGAAAGCAAAAAUUGAGGAAAAAUAAAAGAUAAAUUUAACAUAAAAACUAAUAAAACAUGAAAAUUGAUUAAAAAAACUCAGAUCUCAACAAAAUGAACUAAACCCAUAUGCCGAAAAUGUAUGAAAAAAAAGUUUGUACCCUGCAAACAAUCACAAUUCUCAGCCUCUUUUCUGACAACGUCAAGAACAGAAUCAAUAAGCUCAGCUCCUUCGGUGUAAUGACCCUUGGCCCAGUUGUUCCCAGCACCAGACUGGCCGAAGACGAAGUUAUCGGGGCGGAAGAUCUGUCCAAAAAGACCAGAUCUGACGGAGUCCAUAGUACCAGGUUCGAGAUCCAUGAGAACAGCACGUGGGACAUACCUUCCACCACUGGCUUCAUUGUAGUAGACAUUGAUACGCUCGAUCUGUAGAUCGGAGUCACCGCUAUACCUUCCAGUGUUGUCAAUACCAUGCUCGUCGCAUAUGACUUCCCAGAACUUAGCGCCGAUCUGGUUCCCACACUGACCUCCUUGGAUGUGCAAGAUUUCUCUCAUUUUUUUUCUUUGUCCUCGGGAAUGUGAUGGGAGAGGGAAAUUGGGUUGCUUUGCCUUUUGAUGGGAAACGGAAGGUUGGGAGUGAAGGAUGGCCAGUAAAAUUUGCUUUCGAUAGAUGACGAUGAAAAUAGAAAGUCAACACAGACUUUUGUUGGAAAAAUGCUUCUAUUUAAAGCGUUUGUGAGUUGUAAUAACAAUUCUUUUUUUGUGUAAUAAACUAAUUUGAAUACCAACAAAUAAUUGACUUAAUGGGUUAAAUUUAUUUUUUUACGAAAAAUUUUUAUAUUCAAGUAUCACGUGUGAUUAUUUAUUGAAAUCAUAUCGAAUAUAUAAUUUAUAAUUAUUUAUUUUAAAUUAUCAGAUACAACACAUUUUAUUUUGAUUUAAAAAAAUAAAUAAUUUAUCUACGACAUAAAUUUUUUCUUAAAAAAAAAAAAAACUGAAUUGCAUUUAUUUAAAUGGACUGUUGUUAGUAUUUUUAUUUAAAUAAAAAACAUGUGAUAAAUUUAUAUAAAUAAUAAAGUGGAUAAAUCUUUUUAUCGUAUUAUUUCUUAAAUCUUAAUGCAAAUUUUGAGUGAGUCGUUUAGAUGAUUUGGAUUGCAAAUUGCUUGCUUUUGGAUUCGGUUCCUCUCCAGUCUCUAUAUCUUCGGCCUUCGAUAACCUUUUUCUGUUUUGGGCUUAUUACAUAAAUUUUUGUUCCAAAAAUUUAUCUACCCACGUUGUAACAUCAGAUAAUUGGUUUUCUUUUAAUAUGAUUAUUUUGCCUUGCCAUGCUUGAUUUGUAAACGUUGGUUUUAAUGUAUUUUUAUACUAGGGGUUUUAAAAUGUUUUACAAAAUUGACAAAUUUUUAUUCCAAAAUUUAAAAAGAAUAAUCGUGAAAAAUAUUUUGAAGUCUGAAACAGAAGCAAACAACUGCCAUUCUAAAAUGGAAAAAACACAUUCAACUGUUACUACAAAAGAGGAGUUUAGUUAUGGUUCUAGUUGGCCUUCACACUCGGUCAAACAAGAUGAUGCGAAUUUACAGCAUUGAAGUACAAAACAAUGAAGAUACACAACACCUUCAUAAGUGCACCACUAACAACAAAAUAAGAAAAACAAAUUUUGCAAUAAUCCACAAAAGCUAAUACUGAGUUCAAGACGCAGGUUUCCCUUCCCUCUUCAGUAAUUCCUGAUUAAAGUAUAUGUCAGAAUUAAUAUUUUUUUAUUAUUUUUUACAAAAGCAAUUGAUACUGACUUUAUAAUACCUACCUGUUUGGUAGCGGCAAUUGAGACACGCUGCCUUUCUUUUUUCUCACGUUGGCACUCUCCACACCAGCUUGAGAAAUCUUUCUGAUAUUUCCUCAGCUCACGGAACACCGAACUAUAAUAAAAUUUUGCAUGCACUUUAAACAGUUGGCCAAAAUAAAAUAACUUUUUUUUGCACCAGUUCUCAACCUCAUCAUUCAAUUUAAGGAAUGUGCACCAACAUGAACUGCAACAGUUACACAAUUAAGACACCAGACAGCAUCCGAUGUCUUACACAUUGAACCAUGAAAUUGUUCAAAAUUGAUAGUAACAUCAAAGAAACCAUGAAAAUAACACCAUUAAAUACUAGAUUAAUUCAUCUUAUUUGACUUCCUUGACAGGUUUCGAACAACACAAGGACGACACAGCCACAACUAUUUCUGAACAAAACCUUUAUUCAUACUUUUGUCAGGAAAUAUGGAAAAUAAGUCCUAGACAACUCCAUUAUAAUGUUCUUUCCAACAAAAACAAGAUAGAGAAUUCAGGUGGUACAAAGCUCCAAGGAUUAAAGUCAGUCAUCCAUUGAUAUUUUAUUACAUUUCAACUCCAUAAACAAGUCUAAAUUUUAAAUCUAGUCCAAUAAAUACAUCAAUAUUCUAAAUUCUUUGGCUUCCUCUAAGAAUUCUUCUAUACUGUUCAUCAUAUUUCAGUAUUAAAUAUUAUAUUAAGAUAUUCAAAUGCAAACCAAUGAGUAAGUUUAAUCAAGUGGUAAUCUCUUUCCAACCUGCUACAUUACAACCUGACCUAGUGUAUUAUAUGUUUGGUGUAUUUAUACUAAGAAGUGUAAGAAAAAGAUACCUUCUGCACCACAAAAGUAAGUUGACCCGAUGACCAGAUGUUGUGGCUCUUGCACCAUGCCUAUGGCGCCCACGAUGAAGAACUGCAUGUCCAGGAACAUGGAAAUAAUCCAAAAUUUCCUAUAAAGCACAAUAAAGAGAACACAUUAAAUGGGCAUUUUGUUACAAUGACUAACAAAUUAACACCAGAAAAGGUACCAUGGCCUACAUCUUUUCUUCAAUGAACCAAUAUCUGCUAACCAAUUUAAAUACCAUAUGCCUACCCCAUGUUGUCUAGGAAAAUUACAAAAUGAAAGGGACACCUGCAGCCAUUUUGUUUAAAUUAUUUGUAAUCUCAUGUUCUCACUUACAAAAGAAAGUAGUCUGAUAUUGGAUUCAAAGAAGCAUAAUAGGUUAUCUUGAUAUUUCACUUUAAUAGAGAAGUAAAAAUAUAUAGGGGAGGGGAGAGAGAUGGUGCUGCAUCAGAGAUGGGGUGGUUCUCCUUGUUAACUUGCUACUACAAGGAACUUUUUAUCAAACUGACACUAAACUUCAUCCUAAUGCUUUCUAGCGCAUGCAAUUACAACUAAAUGGUUAAGCCAAAGGAAAGCUUCAGUUCCUGUGACUUAAAAUGAACAGCAUAAAGGAAGAAUUAAUCAGAAGGAUUAGCAUACAUCGGACUGGGUUUCCGUGUUGACAUGUUUAUCACAACGAACACCUCGAAAGAACAAGUCUCCACCAGAAAAUUGUUUACCCAAGCAAACAUUUAAGGUGACUUCUGAAUCAUCCACGUGGAAACCUACAAACACAAAGCUACAGAAGUUUGUGAAGCUACAACUUUAACAAGAAGAUUUUAAGCUACACAACUCUAAGAGUACUACCAAUAGAAGAAAAGAUAAUACAAAGGUUUUAUAAACAAGCAGAUUAAUGGAACAAGCAUCAAUGAUUAUAAUUUUAACGUGCACCAAACUAAAAAUAUUUGCAAGAAAAGAUAGCCAACAUGCCAAAAUUGUAGUAAUCAUGAGAAAAGAGUUAAUGAGCAUGAAAUUUAAGAAAAUAGAUGAUGCCAUCAUUUAAUAAGGAAAGAAGUACCAAGCAAUGCACAAAGCAAAGUCAGGAAUUUCAGAAAAUUAAAUUGUGCAAUACCUUCUGAACACUUAAAUUCUAAAAUCCAAAGAAUCAUCAGUUUUCAUCUAUCGUAGCUAACACUUUAAUCUCCUAAGUGUAGUGGAUGAUAAAUAUCACAGCUUAUAUCACAAACUAUAAACUUUCAUCAUUCAGAGAACUAAUAUAAUGGAUUUAAUUAAAAUGAAAAAAGAAAGAAGUUAGAACCUACCAAGCUCAACAUCCCUGUCAAUUCCAUAUUCAACAACAAAACCAUGAUGAGAAUCCAGUGUAGAUCCACCCACGUCAGAAAAGAAAACUGCAGAACAUUUCCCAUGAUAUUAAAAAAAAAAAAGGUCUAGGCUUUAACUCUAAAUAUAUAUAUAUAUAUAGUAACAUCCAUUUACAAUCUCAAGGCAGAUGGAAAAUUAAAUACUUUUGGAUAUAGGUCGGAUAAAGUCCUCCAUCAACUUGUCAAGCAUGGUCUCCAGACCAAAGUCAUCUAAAACAGCACCAAAUUUGUUCAUUGUGUUUGGUCGCAUGAUUCUGAAUUUUGUCUCAUGGACCCAUUUUUCGAAGUUUUCUACCUAAGCAAUCAGAACCUGAUAAGAAAAAUAUAAAAACUAAAAAAAAGAAAGUUAAAGUAAAAAAUACCAAAGAGAAGAAGGCAAUGAUAAUACCUCAGAUAACAACAAUUCACAGAAACAGGGCUGAAGCAUUUCAAAUGUAAAAACCCCUAGAGCAGGUUCAGCCAUUAUACUUCUAAAACUUUCCUCUUUAUUCUCAUUAAUUGCUUUGAGAAAUGAGGGGACAAAGAAGUUUGAGGCAUGCAUGGCAUACAAUUCCCUAUGCAGAGGCUGCAAAAUGUAGAGAUCACUUAAGCAAAAAGUUGUUUAUAUAUAAACCUUAUGAAGAUAAUAUACCAAAUUACACUGUGCCAGACAUAAAUUAAUUAUUCCAGACCAGCUUGAGUAAAGUAAUCCUAGUAAAAUAGUAAUUACACUUGGUACCUGAUAGUGUGAUAUAAUCUUUUGCCUGUAUUCUCGAUGCCUUUGAACCUGUUCAAAAAGGUUUUUUUUUUUGGAUCAAAUGUUCAAAACAGUUUUAAAAUAGUGAAAAAAAAGGUACAUCUAAAUAGAAAAGGAAAAUUAAGAGAGAUAGUUAUCCACAGACCAGAUAGCUAGCAUAAAUUAGUGGUUCAGAAAAAAGUCUCAAUGUUCAGAAAUGAUAUAAGCAUAAAGAUAUAGAUUGAAACUUAAAAUUGGUCCAAUGACAAUUAGGAAACAUAAAAGCCCUUUACAGAUCAAUUAAUACAUCAAUUCAUCCCAAUUCAAACAUUAACAACACUCAGCAGGUGAUAAAUCCGCAUUAAGACAUUAAAAUUCCCUUUUUUUUUUCCGUUGUUCAAAGUAUAUGUUCUCCACUAUUUCUCAAUCAAUCAAUCAAAAAUAGAGUUAAAAACAAUAAUACUUCUUAGCAUUCCUUUAACUUAAAAUUUGUCACAGACCAAUCAUAUUCAGUUUCCAGAGAAAACUUUUAAAAGAAAAAAUAUAUUCCCUAUAUUUUAUUAUAAAAAUUCAUCUGAUUAACGUAAAUAAUAUCAAGAAAUUACAUUAUCAUUUCAUAACAACAUUCUUAAGCAAAGAAACAUUCGAACAAGAAAUUCAAACAUAAACUAAUAAAAUGCAAAAAUUAAGGCAAUUAAAAAAGAAAAGAAGAUUACGCGAGUACGUUCGCCUUCAGGAGAGUAACGAAGGAUAAUAUCGCGCAUGUAAUGGAGCUUGGAGUCGCGAGAGUGUGAGAGCAUCGGAGGAGGCAAGUAACGUUCCAGGGAGCUGAACAGAAGCGGACUGAACUCCAACUGCAAACCCUCGUAAGUCUCCGGCUUGUGCUCCGUGUUAGGGUUCAGCCGUAACCGGUGCGUAGUCGCCAUGCUCGGCAACACCGCCACGCCGUUUCCGUUAUGACCAGCACUUGGUGGCGUUGGUUGUUGGGUCUCUUUUCCAGACACAUCUAAAGACAUGAUUUUUUAUAUCCUUAUUUCAAGAUUUGGGAGAAGGAGGAAUCGGCUCGUUAUCGAGCUCAUAAACAGGCUCGUUCGGAAGCCCCUAAAAAACGAAUUUUCUAUCUGACCAAAAAGAAGAAAAAAAAAAUCAAAUCAAACACAUUUACCCUACCAAUAUUUCCCAACCAUUUCUAUCAAAGAAACGAAAGAAUGCAGUCACAAUGAAGAAAAGACUAACAGUAGCCAAAGAAAAAAAAAAUAAAAGGAUAAAGGAAGCUGCUGAAAGCCUGAAUUAACUUCUACAAGGGUCUGCUCAGAGUUAGGGUUUUAAGGAAUUAAGUUGGCACCUGAAUUGUGAUAGGUAUCCUACCCUUUAUCCAAGAGUAAGUUAGAGGAUAUUUUAAUAAUUUUAUUGUAUUAAAAAUAAAACAAAAAGUUUUCAAAAAAUUUUAAAUACACUUAUAAAAUAUAUUGAUAAAAGUAUUCUUCAAUCUCAUAAUUAUAUAUACCUAAAAUUUAAAAUAUAAAUUAAUAUUUUUAGUUAUAACAUUUUAUCUUAACAUUUUAUAUUUUCAUUCAUAUGUUUAACACUUAUCCUUUUUUUCAUUCUCUUAAUUUUUUCUUUUAAACUCAACUUAAAACCAUCAAACAAACCUUUAAAUUACAAGUUUUUUUAUUAUUUGAUCUAUUUAAUGUAAGAUUUAGUUGUUGUUGUUGAUUUAUUUGAUAAAUUUUUUAAAGUUUAUAAUUUAAGUUUACGAGAUUUUUUUGGUAAAAUUGAGUAUUAUGAAACCUUUAAAAAGUUACGAAAAUCCAUUUUCUUAAGUUUUAUAAGACUUGUGGAUGUGAAUAAUUGUAAGCCUUUCAUAGCUUUUAGAUAUUCAUUUUCAUGAGCUUUGAAAUGCUUACGGAUAUUUAAAUCUGUAAGUCUUUUAAAGCUUACAAAAAUUGAAGAAUUUGAAUAUCCGUAAGCUUUUCAAAGCUUGUGAAAAUCUAUUUUCAUAAGUACAAAGUUGAAAUGAAUUUUGUUUAAGUUAUAUGGGUUUAUUGAAAUGUUGCAUUUUGUACUAUGUCACAAUAGAUAUGGCUUGAACGAGAGUUUGAUGUGUUCAAACAAGAGGUAAGGGCAUUAAUAGAGGUGUUAGACGUAUAACAGCAGAUCCUAGUCUAAGUCAGGUGCGUCUUAUUGCCUUUAAGAAGAGACAUUAAAUCCAAGAAGAUGAUAACGAGUUGGUGAAAGACCAUGCAGGGGAUGAUAUUCCAUAAGUUCAACUUUUUACGAAGAACCUAUCACCCACGAGCAUUAUGAUAAAGGUGGAAAUGACAAUGCAAAGCAAGUUUCUUAACCUUUUCCUAGAACGUCCGAUUGAUAUGUCUAUCAUUUAGAGUUUUGAAUCUCAUGUUGCAUUGUAAAUAUGGAAUGGCUAGUUAAUCACUUAAAUCAUAUACUAUGAUAGUAUUAGUUUGUGUUUUUAAAGUGAAUUAGUUGAUUGUUGUUGUUAAUAUUGUUUAUGUUGUUGCUGAUCUUAUUAUUGUUAUUGUUACAUGAGCAAAAUUCAUUGAAAUCGAUUAAUUAUUGACUUAAAUUACAAUAAUGGCAAUUAGACGAUGCACGUAAACAUAUAUGAGCCAACGUAAUCGAGUUAAGGUUGGAUUUAUGUAUUGAUUGUACCUAUCGUUUGAUGAAUAAUACGAUAGUAUUAGUUUUUGUUGAAAGAUGAUAACUUAAAACCAACACAUUUCCUUUACCAUUUAAAGAAAUGCUAUCAUGUGAGAUGAUGUGUUCGCAAUUCUACACAUUUCAAUCAUCAUGGCCAUGAUUUUAGUUAAUUAUUUGACGAUCGACGAGGCAAACACACUAUUGAUCAGGUUCGUUAGAGUUUCUGCAUUUGAAGAGCAACAAAGACUAAUUGGGUUUGCUGACCUAUUCUAAGGCUGCAGUGGCUAUGGAAUACUCUUAAAAAUGUAAUAGAUACAUCAGAUGAUCAGGUAAUAGAGUAUGCAUUUAGGAUUUUUUUACUCUAUUUGCUAGGGUGUACAUUGUUUCUUUAUAAGAGCAUGACAAAAGUAUCGAUAGCGUACUUAACCUUACUGAGCAACUUCAAUGCCAUUGGUAAAUAUGUUUAAGAGACAGCUUACCUGGCAUAUUUAUACAAAUAGAGCUCGAUUGUUUUGUAUGUUUUUGAGAAUAUUUUAUUUAGUGGAUUACAGAAGAAUGUUGAUGUAUUAAGAGACAUAGUUAUCAUAGCACAUACUAUAUUGUUUAGGUUAUUAAUUGCAACAACUAAUAGUAGUCAAUCUAGAUUGGUAGUACUACAUCAAACAUCAACUCCUGCACCAUUUUUCAAGCGUUCAAACCACCUUUGCUCAUUCAGUCUAGAUCAUCAGCAUUGAGACAUGCAUUGACGAAGCUGCCCGUGCCUACUCCAUCCCUAAUUCCAUUAUCAACAUAUGCACUACCUAGGUUGCCUGUGCUUGCUUUGUCCCUCCCGUAGUAGCAACGACAACAUUGACCUUGCUUGCAAGCUUUUUCCCAUUACAUUGAUGAUAAUAUUAGCCCUACUUGAGAGCUCCACACCUACUACAUUGACAGCAGCACAACCUGUUCAUCCAUAGUGUGUAUAUAUAUAUUUGAUUUAAAAGGUCGAGGGAGAGAGAGCAAGGUAUUAACACUAUGGAGUAGGAUAGUGAUUUUGUAACUUUAUUAUUUUUACUUAAUAAAGUAUGUUUAUAAAACAUUUAUUAGAUUAUGUUGUAUUUAUAAAACAUCAUUAGAUAAUAUGUUUAAUAUAACACAUCUAUUAGAUAACCUGUUCAAUAUAGCACAUUCAUUAGAUUAACUGAUCAAUAUAACAUAUCCCAUUAGCUAAUAUGUUCAAUAUAUAUACAAUAUUAAUAUAAACUGUUAACAUAUAGAUUAAUUUACUAAACAAGUAUUCUAAAUAAUCAAUCAAUAUUUAUUGUUUUUUAAAUGACAUCAUCAGAAUUUGUACUAAACAAUAACUUGAAAUCCUCAAUACGAGGUAAUAUGGAAUCUUUCACCAUCGAGCACAAUUAUAUGAAUCUUAUGAUAGUUACAUGCAAUUGGAUGUAUUAGUGAGAUUGGUUUCAUUAACAUCUGCACAAAAUAAAAAUGAUAAGUAAUGUGAUUAUCAAUAAUAUAAACGAUAGGUAUCAACUCUAAUUACCAUUACUUGCAUAAAAUGAUAAUUAUUAACAAAUCUAAUCGCAAUGACUCUGUGCUCCAAUGACAAAAAUGGUACAGAUCUAAUAGAGAAAUAUAUUAGGUAUUGUCUCAAACUGAUGUGGACUAGCACAACGUUAUAUUGUCCAUAAUCAGGAUAAUUUCAAGCAAUGUCAUCUGAAUGGAAGUCACACCAACAAUUUCAAGCAAUGGGAGAUAGUAUCUAUUUGUUUUAUAUAUGUAAUUGUUAGCUCAAAGAUUUAGAAUAAACUAAGAGGGGGGUGAAUUAGUUUUAAUGAAGUUUUCAAAAACAAUAUUCAAUAAGCACAAAUUUUGCUAAACAAUUAAACAUAAUAAUUGAAAGUAAAUAAAAGAUAGAGAUAGAGAUAGAGAUAGAGAUAAUAACAUCGCGAUUUAUAAAAGGUUCAGUCCUUUCUUAGGCACCUACGUCCUCUCCCUUAGCCUUUCGUGCCAAGAAGUUCAAUCCACUAUAAGUGUUGAAGAUUACAACCAAGCUUCUCUAAGCUUUACAAACUCAACACAAUAUACUCUUAAGGGUUAUCCUCCUCCUUAAGCUUAUAAACUCAUAAAACAGAAAAAUAAAGUGUUUUGCAAACUCUAAGAACCUCACAAAGGUUGGGUGUUUGCUAAGUUGAAGUACACAAAGGUAUAGACAAGAGAAUGAUGAAUGAACAAUAAAAAUAGUUUGGAUACAAUAAAUACAAAGAUAUAGACUUUGAAGCUCUAAAAACUCUUGAUUAUUUGAGAGAAUAAAAAUAUUGCUUCUUAACUUUUGCUUUCUUGAUUCUUCUAUUUUCUUAGUGUGUUGGAGUGCCCCCUUUAUAGAUAAAUUGAUGAACUAACCGUUGGGAAAGUUUGGAGUGAAGAAAUGCUCGUUGAAAGCAUGAAAAAGUAGCCGUUGGAGCAUUUUGGGCAAGAACCGAUCGAUCCCUUCCAUGAGGGAUCGAUUGGUUCAUGUUUUGAACCAUUUUUCACUUGAAAAUUGCCUAACCGAUCGAUCUCCUAUGUGGGGGGAUCGAUCCCUUUUUGGAAAUUCAGUCUUGGGGCAUUCUGGUUGAAAACCAAUCAAUCUUUUCUAGAGGGGAUCGAUCCUAUCCAUGCUGGGUGGUAGUUUCAUGUUUUGUACUCUACUCAUUAAUUUAAUCAUAACUUGAGUUAUACAAAUACAAAUUACAAACCGUUUGAAGAUUUAGAAACUAUACUUAAAGGAUCUUCUAUCCAUGUAAAGUACAUCACCUAAUUCACCGUGUAAGAAUUAUAGUGAAUUUUUAAAGUUAUCCAUUGUGCAGUUUUUUUUACAACUACAGAGUGUCUAGUAAAAAUUCAAAAUCUUUUCUUAAAAAAUUUGGAUUUUAAUUUUGUUUGAUCCAUUAGAAAGUAGACUCAAAGAGCUUUCCAACCAUAUAAAAUUCAAAUAUUAAAACUUUGUGAAUUAAUAUAGAAAAAUAAAACAAAUUCAAUAUUGGAAAAUUGUGUUCUUGUAAAACAGCUUUCAUAAGUUAAUCUAUUUCUCAAAAUCAAUAUUGUCAAAAUUGUAUUAAGUCCAAAAUGAAUAAGUUCACUUUAAAAACAACAAUUGGACUUUCAUUUAGCUCAAAUAAAUAAUCUUUAAAGAUAGAUUUGGUUUGAGAAAUAUGAAAACAAAGAAAGGUUUGUUUAAGCUUUGAAAAUCAUAUUAUUUAUUUAGUACCAAAAUAUAAAACUUAAGAACAUGUACUAAAUAAAUCUUUUUCAAAAUCUUAAUCAAGUUUAUUUAGCUUUAAUGUUUUGUCAUUUCAAAAUAAGGAUCAAUUCAAGGCCAACAGUAAUUCAUAAUCAUGACACUUAUGAAGGUUUUAACAAAUUUAUAUCAAUAGGAUGAGCCCAAAACAAGUCUCUCAUACGAUCACUUGACUUAUUAGUUUCAUGCCACUCCAAGUAUUUACAAUUGGUUAACUUCUUUAUGAGUUGUUGUAUUUGUUAUCUACUAGCUUUAUUAACAUAUAUGUAUUUUUUAUGUUCAUUGUAUAUUAUCUUUAUAGUGUUGACAUUCUUUUCAUUAUGUUAUUUAUAAUCAAUGGUAUGUUUUUGGGUUUGACUAUAUCGUCUAACUAUCAGCCACUAUUCUUUUUUUUUUCAAAUAAUCGAUCUGUAAAUGAAUGUGAAACCCGUAGAAUACUUUCACGCCUCACUUAUUAUCCAUUGCCAACUUAAUCCCAUGUAAAUCAAAUGGGCAACAACACUUUUUUGUUCUCAUUUUCUUACGUUGCAUUUUUUUUACCUUACCCAUAUUCUUUUGCUACAAGUAUUUUCCACUUCGUCAAUCUUAUUAUAGGUUUCUUCGUUACACUUUCCAAUGCAAAAUUUUUAAUCACAAUUAUAAAAUCAUUAUCUUUUCUAACUUGCCUAGCCCGUGAAAUCAAGACUUCUCUAUUACAAAACACAUGCACAACAUAUUUAAUUUAUUACAUUUAUACAAACUAACAUUUUAUGGCUUUAUAACAAACUAACCUAAAAAAUAUAAUCUUACCUCUUUUGUAGUAAAUGAAUCCAUAUAAUUAUAUCUGAUAUCUAAAUUUUUUGUUGAUUGAUUUCACUCUAUUAGUGUAGUUCUCAAAUUGAUUUGCUUAUUACAAGAUAUUAAAAAAUUAUAAUAAUACUAUUAGAAAGUGAAAAUAGGAACUAAUUUUGCAUUAAUGGAUAUGCAUAUAAGAGACAUUUUUUACUUUAACGCAUAUGCAUAUGAUUUUUGGAUAUGUAUAUCCAAAAUGAAAUAUUGUAUUACCGUAAAUGUAAAUCCAAUAACGCAUAAAUAUUACUGAAAAUGCAUACUCAAAAAUCAUAUUGUAUUUUUGGAUAUACAUUUACGAUAACAUAAGAAACGUACAAAAUAUACAUAUUCAGUAAUGCAAUAUUUAUUCAAGAUAUUUAUUUUCAUAAACAUCAAAUUUUCAAUUUAAAAUGAGUUUUAAAAGAAUUACUUCAUCAAGAUGCAUAUUAACCCCUCCAAUUUUGUUUCCCAUUUGGCUAUCCAUUUUUACAAGAUUUAAUAAUUGUUUAAAAGAUUUAUGGUUUGUUUUAAAGAUUUAGGGUUUCUGAUAUCAGGAAAAAGAAAAAAGAAAGAAGGAAAAAAAAGAGAAGACAAAAAAGAGAACAAACAAAAUUUAAAAAAAGCAUAAUGGGUUAAAAAUAUAUUUUACUAAAGGAUAUAAAGUUAUUUCAUAUUUUGGUAUUUUUGGAACCAAAUAUUGAGGUAUAUAAAAUAUAUUUUGUCGUGUAUAUAAAAUCUACCAAAUUUGUUUUUGGGUUUUUUAUAUUUUUGGGCCAUGAAUAUGGGCUUUUUAUUAUCCAAGUUGCUUUGUUCAAUGUGGAGGCCGAAACUUAGUCUACAAUCUAAAUCAAUAUUAAAUGAGUUCUUGAAAAAAGAUUACAAGUUUGAUGAUGCAUAUUCAUUCAUUUAUACAUUGUUAAAUUAUUUUUGUUAUUAAUAAUUUUCUUUUAUAGACAAUCUGUAGAUUUAAUAUAAGUCUAAGACCUAUGGUCUGCUGUGACCUUGAACUAAAGAAACCUCCAUCAUCUUAUUAUUAUAAUUUUUUUUUUUGUAAAAAAAGAAAUACAAGUGAAUUGUUUUGUGGUAGUAUAGUUGCUAUAAGCGGCACAGGUAUCACUCCAUUAGAUUUUUAUUAUAAGGCCAAACUUUAAUUAGAUUCAAGACAUGCCAUUUAAAGCAAUUGAGAGUUAUCACCCAAUUUUUUAAUUGAAAAUCAAGAGUCGAUUAUAAGUAUUAAUACCACAAGUUUGUUUUAUGAUUAAAAAGGAUUAAUAGCGAAGUCGCAUCUAAAGUAUGUCUUUUGCACCAACGUCAUAAAAUAAAGAUAAAUUUUAUAUGAAAUUUUUUAAAUUUACAUUGUUCUUUCUUAAAAAUAAUUUAAUAAAUAUUUUAAUAAAAAAUCUAAAUCAAUAGAUUGAUACAGUUCAAUGUGAAUAUUAAUAAUAUAUAAAAAAAUUAUUAAAAAAAUUAUUUAUGAUUUAAAUUUUUUAUACUUAUUUAAUGAUAAAAAUUUUAUCAGUAUUUUUACUAAAAAUAUGCAUAUAAAAAUAUAUCAAAAUUUAUUAAAUUUUUUUAAAUUUUAUAUACUUGAUUUAUGAAACGAGAUCUUUUAAUCUAUCAACUUUAAUUUUUUAUUUUAAUUUUUAUUUAAUGAUUUCUAAUAAAAAUUUUUACGAAUUUUACAUAAAAACUUUAGCUAAAUCUUUUCCUAUAUAGAGGCUGGAUUGCUAAUGUUUUUUGAAAGGAUAAUAUUUAUGAUUAUGAAGUUUAGAGCCUUAUUAUAAGACUUGUUCACGAGAAAAUUGCCUAAUUGGUUUUGCAUUUUUCGAAUUUGCUCUUCCGUCAGGCAACCUCCAAGUCUCCACUCAUCGUAUCAGCACUCGAAACACCAUUAACAAGGACAAAAAUUCUUGUUUGUUCCAUGAAGCUCACAAGGUGACAUGUAUGGAGAACAAAAUCAAUCAAAACUUGUUAGCCGAUUUUCUAGCAGAUAAGUUGUACAAAUUAAAAUGAUAAAAAAAAAACUUCAAAUAUCAUUGAUGUACUGAAUUAAAUAAGUAAUUUUAAUUUCUUAGUUAACAUUUUGAACAUAUUUUUUUUAUUAAAAGUUUCCAUUAAUAGGUCUCAAUACGAGUUACCAAACACAUUGCAUAAAUAAAAUAAUUAUAAAUUAUAAAUUUUCUAUGAUAUUAUCAACCUCAAUUUUUUUUUUUGAUUUACUUGAUUUUGCUUUUACAAAUUUUUUUCAUCAUAGAAUCUCAAAAUAUUAACCCAAUAAUAAAUUAAGCUCAAAUGUUUCCCAUUUUUGAAUUCCAUGAUAGACAACAUCUUUGAUGAAAAGCUUUUCAUUUGUCUUAAAUUAUCUUAAGCUUAACGCUUCGUCACUAUUCGCUCCCCAUAUGCAUUUUGCUUGCAAAUGGCAAAUGUAACACAUUACUUGAGAUUUUCAAUAUAUAUACGACAAACUUAGACCUCACAAUUUAAACAAUAUGAACAUGGUAUUAAAAAAAUACAAAAGUAAUAUGAUUUAAAAUUUUAACAAAAAUCAUAUAUAAGUUUAAUAAAAAAAAAUAUAUUCUGUAUUUUUUGUAUUGAUAUGAAUUAUAAUACGUAAUUUUUAUAUAAAACACAAUAUGAGUACAUAAAUUAUCAUUGAUUUAUACGUUAUAAAUACACAAAUUACCAAUUAUACAAAUUCACAAAUAAUUCAUUUGGCCUCUAUCAAUAUCAUAUUAAGUGCAAUCUUAAAUUCCAAAUCUUGUAAUUCUUUAAACAAUAAAAACUUGUAAUUAUGUUAGACAACCAUAAGAUCUUCUGAAAUGAAGUUUUGAUCUUCAUAUGUUAAAGCAAAACUAGUAUGAUUUAAAAUUUUAACAAAAAUCUUAUAUAAAUUAAAAAAAAUGAAAAAAUAUAUUUUAUAUUUUUUAUGUUAACAUUAAUUAUGAUAUAUAAUUUUGUGUAAAAUAUGAUUCAAAUACAUAAAUUAUAAUUAAUUUACUCGAAAUAAAUAUAUAAAUUAUCAAAUAUUCCAUUACAUAAAUUAAUGAGACUAAUCAAACUGCAUUGUAACACUUGAAUUUCAAAGUUAAGUCAACGAACAUAGUAGAUUUAGAAUUGUAUAUGUAAAUUUACAGUUCAGAUUACAACAAACUCAAGUUCCCUUGCCAACAAAAACGUUGGACUCCAUAUCAUACCCAGGCUUGAAGGAGCAGAUUCAACCAUAACCCAAACUGCACAUGUGCCCAUUUCAACCAGACAGAGGCCAGCCAUCCCAGGAAUCUGGUUUGAGAUUCAGACAAGAGAACAGACAAAGAUCAUGUGCCCAUUUCAACAUCUCCCGAUAUAUCUUAGUAUCAAACACCAUACAAGUGUAAGCAAUAGUGCAACGCCUCGCCCUCCAACAAGUCCAGCAAGAACAAUCACAAACAGAAUCAGAUACCCUGAUUUCCCUUUUCUGACAUUUUCCACCUUGUCUUUAACUAUUCCCAUUUCUGAUUCCACCCAUAAAAGUUCCUCGAUUUCUUUGCAACUUUCUUCUUCUCUUUGUGAUUCAUCUUCUCCAUUAUCAUCAUCAUCAGCCAGCUCUUCUGGCUUUUCCUCUUCAAUCUCGUCCAUUUUAUGUAUAUCUACUCCCCAUUGAUUCUUGUUAUUGCUCUUCCCCUGCUUCUUUCCAUGGCGCAACUUCUUUGGAACAAAUUUCUUGAUAAAAUUUCUAUUAAUUCUGGCACUUCGACUACGCUCACUCUUACCUGUCAAGAUUUCCCUUCUUGUCUCCAUCUCCGAACUUUCACACCCCUUACCAACACCAACGCAAUCGAAUUUCGAUUCAGCAAUCUGAAUUUUCUCGACGCAAUCAUCUUCCAAUUCAAUCAACCCACAAGAAUCAGUUCCAUGUUGUAGCUUUGCAUUGCAGUGAGGGGCAGGGAAUGAUUGGGGAGGCGAUGAGGGUGGAUUGGUGGGAGCUGUUUGGCUCUGGGGACUAGAUCUUCUUUUGGGGGAUUUUCUCAAGCGAUCACGGUUCUUGACGAAGAGAUCGACGAGGGACGUUGGGAACCCAGUCUGCACCACAAGGGAUCUGCCGCGUUUGGGGGAUUGACGGAGGUCGGAAACCAGCCGGGAGAUACGAGUUAUUUUGGCUUUCUUCCAUGGAAAAGGCAUGGUAAAAAAAAAAAACAAACUGGGUUUUUAUUCUUUUUUGGUCUUUCUUGUGGUUCUUGUGUUGCUUGUUUGGUUGAAGGGAAAGUGAAUUGAAUUAAAAAUAAAAUUGGGUGAGGAAGAAAUGCAAAUGAGCAUAUCACAUGAUGCCUGUAUUAAAGCCCAGAAAAACAAGAAAGUGGUAGACGCGUGAAGGAGAUGGCUCGGUUUCAGACAAAAGUGGGGGGAAGUUGUUAUGGUUUUUUUCUCUCUUUGUCCGUCAAUUUUUAUUUUAUUUUUUUGGAUUAUUUUCUUAAAUCUAAUAUUUGGUAUUUGUUUCCUAAAAGCAAGAGGAAAUUCUAGUAUUUUUAGUUGUUGUAGGAGUAUUAGUUUUAAAAAGAUUUAUCUUUAGUAAAUUUGAUCCUUUCAGUUGUUUUCACUCCUCUUAUUAAGAUUACUUUUUCAAUCCUUUUUAUUUUUCUUCGUCUUUUAUUUACUUUAUAGAUCAUUAUUUUAUAAGUAAUGAAGUUUUUAAAUUUAGUAAAUCGAUUUAUAUAAUUGAUACAUAUUUAUUUAAUAAUCAUGUUAAUUUAUUAAUUUUUUUAAUUAUUGCCUAAUGUAUAUAUAAUAAGCCGACAAUUCUUGGUGAAAUUUUAAAAUUUUACUUUUAAUAUAUAUCAUAAUUUUUUGUCUUCAAAUACCAAAAUUUUUUUUUGUCUUUAAAUACCAAAAAAAAUC